UACGGGGGGGGCAAGCGUUGUUCGGAAUUACUGGGCGUAAAGGGCUCGUAGGCGGCCAACUAAGUCGGACGUGAAAUCCCCAGGCUCAACCUGGGAACUGCGUCCGAUACUGGAUGGCUUGAAUCCGGGAGAGGGAUGCAGAAUUCCAGGUGUAGCGGUGAAAUGCGUAGAUAUCUGGAGGAAUACCGGUGGCGAAGGCGGCUUCCUGGCCUGUCCCUGACGCUGAGACGCGAAAGCUGGGGGAGCGAACGGG
This 253-nucleotide ribosomal RNA is filed under the name uncultured bacterium. Its description in RNAcentral is "partial 16S ribosomal RNA". It matches the Rfam family "Bacterial small subunit ribosomal RNA", at positions 524 to 776 of the family's 1533-position model. The record is from RNAcentral.